RNAcentral lists this transfer RNA (82 nucleotides) under Gimesia chilikensis. RNAcentral describes it as "tRNA-Tyr". Lineage: Bacteria; Pseudomonadati; Planctomycetota; Planctomycetia; Planctomycetales; Planctomycetaceae. The record is from RNAcentral.
GCGUUGGCUGGGCAUUGGCGAGCCCCGGUGGCUGUAACCCACCCGCUUACUGCUGUGGCGGUUCGACUCCGUCCCAACGCAC